UGUAUUGGAACAAUGAGAUUCCUCGACUUCCAGUGAGCGCGAAAGAGCAGGGAAGUCGGGGAGGCUCUUUGUCUCAAUACG
Non-coding RNA from Marchantia polymorpha subsp. ruderalis, 81 nucleotides. NCBI's taxonomy places the organism in Eukaryota, Viridiplantae, Streptophyta, Marchantiopsida, Marchantiales, Marchantiaceae. The record is from the annotation of a GenBank genome assembly.